Aethalodelphis obliquidens (Pacific white-sided dolphin) is the source of this 1171-nucleotide long non-coding RNA. RefSeq lists it as uncharacterized. The record is from RefSeq and is a predicted model, not a curated record. NCBI's taxonomy places the organism in Eukaryota, Metazoa, Chordata, Mammalia, Artiodactyla, Delphinidae. The transcript has 3 exons.
GAUAUCUCACUGUGGUUUUGAUUUGCAUUUCUCUGGUGAUUAGUGAUGUUGGGAGCCUUUAGAGAACUGGCAGUUUCUGAUUCCCCUGCUGGAGUGACCACAUAGAGAGGCCUUGGUAGUAUGUGGAGAGGGAGAAUGGCCUGGCUGAGCCCGCCUUCCCAGCCAUUCCUGCAAAGGCCCCACCUAUGCAUGAAGCCUUCUUGGACCCUCCAUACUACUGAUCUACCUGCCAAAUGCCACCAAGUGACCCUAGCUGAUGCUACAUGGAGCAGAAGAACUGCUCAGCUAAACCCUUCCCGAAUUCCUGAUCCACACAAUUGUGAGAUAUAAUAAAACUGGGUGUUAGCAGCCAUCCUAAUGGGUGUGAGUUUUUUCAACAAAACUUUGACAAAGUUUUAAGCCACUAAAUUUGGGGAUAGUUUGUCAUGCAGCAAGAGAUAACUGGAACAGUGAGCAGAUGCCCUUUCUCUGCCUGUGGUUUGGAUUUGCCGCAUUAAAUAUACUGUAAAUGACAUGAACAGCUGGACAGCCGGCACAAUGCUCACAGGUCAGGAAGAGUGCGCCAUCUUUGACUUGUGCGCUCCUUCCUGACACAUAAUUUCUAGAGGAGCAAUACCUGAAACCCUGUCCUCCACCUACUGGUCUAUCCAUAGCCUCUCUUUGUGCAAUCACUGGGUUGUGCCUCAGGUGGUCUAACUGUAGGGCAUUAGGAUCUGUGCUGAAAAUAAAUGCAUGCUCACGACAUACUUUUGGGCUGAACUAAGGCCUAACACUGAUUUUGCUGCAGGUUAACGCCAGCACUAUAGGUGAUGAGAAGGUCUGAAUCUGUUGUGAUUGCACGCAUCGACAUAUGCCCAUUGCUCAUCUUUACUUGCAGGCCACCCUCCCACUCAUCAAUCCCCAUCAGCACACUCUCUGGCCCAUGACUGCAGUGAUGCAAGAAAACAGUGAGAUAGGAAGCUACACACCAGUUACCAGCCCUUCGAUAUUCUCUAAUGCCUUUUUACCCCAACCAGAAAGAAUGUGAGUUCCAGGCCGUCAGCACCUCCUUUGUCUUGCUGAACGAACGGAAGAAUUGAGAAACAGAAGAGCAUCUCCCUCUCCCCUGCCAAUAAUCUACUAGUACGCAGGCGUCUCACUGCUGUGGCCUCUCCUGUUGCGGAGCACAGGC